CGGACACCCCUCCGUGCCCACCGAGGCGGCCCCCGGGCGCGGCAGCGCGCUCGGCCCCGCCGGGCGGUCUCCGGCGAGGGCAGUGGCGGCUCGGGCGCGCCUCGCUGCAGCCGGAGCCAUUCAUCCCCCCCGCCCCUCUGCAGCCCCUUUGUUCGGGCUGAGAGUAACGCCGUGAAUUAAAAGAAAUGACAAUAUUUCGUAUCUGCUGGGACGGCCCGGAGAAGGGCCCUUGAGGCUGGCAAAAAUCAGGCGGAUCAUUCAUCGUGCCACCCCGCACCUGUGGGCUUGGCAUUGAAAACCCCGCGGACCUCUUCCUAUUCAACUUAAUUAUUCCCCGAAGGCGCACAAUGGUUGAAAUGGAGCAGGCAGCUGCAGUCCAGGACCCAGAAGCACAAAAAGAACAAGUUUGAAAUACCAGGUGCAUCCGAGAGAACCACGACAGGGAUUGAUAUGUUAUAGCCCAGGACAUGAACCUAGCAAUAAAGAUAUCAUUGCGAUUGUUUGCGGCUUCCACGCCAUGUAAAGCCGGAGGCGCCGGAGCAGGCUGCUUUCUGGCAGCAGAGGCUUUGCCUCCCCGGGCUCCCCCGGCGCCCUCCGCCAAACCCGAGCACCUGUUGGCCAGACCCCGGCCCCGUCGUGGGAAUCGCCUCCCGCCCACGCUUCCAGGUCCCGGCAGCGCGGUUUGUUGUGGAGUUAUUUAGGACCAUUCCCACCGGCUGCGGGAUGCUUUGGAAAGCGGGAGGUUUACCAGGGGACACUCAACUGGUGUUUGUUCGACCUCGCAGCUGGUACUCGGUGCCCAGCGAGAGAUGCGUGAAUGAAAGGAGGGAUGAGAUCCCGGGCUGGGGGAGGCUUCACGCCCCGCGUCUCGCCGGGCGCCCGCCCUACUGCCGGCAGAUGAACGGCCUGGGAACCGCGGUGGGGCCGGUUCACAGUACCCAGGCAGCCCUGCCUGCGCACCGCGCUGCUCGGCGGGCACUCACAGCCCGCCUGGCUCCUCGCUGCCCGUGCUG
Pogoniulus pusillus (Red-fronted tinkerbird) is the source of this 1013-nucleotide long non-coding RNA. RefSeq lists it as uncharacterized. The record is from RefSeq and is a predicted model, not a curated record. NCBI's taxonomy places the organism in Eukaryota, Metazoa, Chordata, Aves, Piciformes, Lybiidae. The transcript has 2 exons.